This 253-nucleotide ribosomal RNA is filed under the name uncultured bacterium. RNAcentral describes it as "partial 16S ribosomal RNA". It matches the Rfam family "Bacterial small subunit ribosomal RNA", at positions 524 to 776 of the family's 1533-position model. The record is from RNAcentral.
UACAGAGGGGGCAAGCGUUGUUCGGAAUUACUGGGCGUAAAGGGCGCGUAGGCGGCCAACUAAGUCGGACGUGAAAUCCCCGGGCUCAACCCGGGAACUGCGUCCGAUACUGGAUGGCUUGAAUCCGGGAGAGGGAUGUGGAAUUCCCGGUGUAGUGGUGAAAUGCGUAGAUAUCGGGAGGAACACCAGUGGCGAAGGCGACUACCUGGCCUGUUCUUGACGCUGAGGCGCGAAAGCUAGGGGAGCAAACGGG